Molecule: non-coding RNA, 267 nt
Organism: Pelobates cultripes (western spadefoot toad)
Lineage: Eukaryota; Metazoa; Chordata; Amphibia; Anura; Pelobatidae
Source: the annotation of a GenBank genome assembly
GUCAUUUAAAAGUCUCAGGUGAGUUUUACUUUGCUGCUUUCAUCUUGAAAGCCAAAUCUCUAAUUAUGUAUUGCUUGAUAAUGUUUUGUUACACGUCUUAUAAAAUUACAUGGCAACUGAUGUAGCUCUUGUUAACUGACUGCAGGUUGUCAAAACCAAACAUGCAAAACUGACAACUUCUCCUAAUGCUUGUGAUGAGCUCACACUCUGCCUGGCAACAAUGCAAAUGUAUGUAAAUAGCAAGACAUGAAACAUACUUACAACAGA